AUUGAACGCUGGCGGAAUGCUUUACACAUGCAAGUCGAACGGUAGAGGGGGCAACCCCUUGAGAGUGGCGAACGGGUGAGUAAUAUAUCGGAACGUGCCCAGUCGUGGGGAUAACGUAGCGAAAGCUACGCUAAUACCGCAUACGAUCUACGGAUGAAAGCGGGGGAUCGCAAGACCUCGCGCGAUUGGAGCGGCCGAUAUCCGAUUAGGUAGUUGGUGAGGUAAAGGCUCACCAAGCCGACGAUCUGUAGCUGGUCUGAGAGGACGACCAGCCACACUGGGACUGAGACACGGCCCAGACUCCUACGGGAGGCAGCAGUGGGGAAUUUUGGACAAUGGGCGCAAGCCUGAUCCAGCAAUGCCGCGUGCAGGAUGAAGGCCUGGUUGUAAC
This 391-nucleotide ribosomal RNA is filed under the name uncultured bacterium. Its description in RNAcentral is "bacterial SSU rRNA". It matches the Rfam family "Bacterial small subunit ribosomal RNA", at positions 30 to 429 of the family's 1533-position model. The record is from RNAcentral.